UGAGAAGAUGUCCAAGUUCUCCUGGCAAAGGACAGUUUCAACCCAUUCCCAUGGAAAGUGGUUUAAGUAAACAAGGUUGAGAUGGAUAUCUUGGUGUUCAAAUCUGUAGAGUUUCUUAUCCGUGAUGACUUUCCCAGCCUAAUAGGCUUUGGAUGCAGAUACCUCAUGUGACUCUUUUGCUGGUUUCACAGAUGCUUUUCUUUUCACACCUGCUUUUUUUUCCUCCUCGUGAGAUUAGAAUUAUCUGCAGGAAACUCUAGAUCAGGUGAAGCUGAAAUCUGAAAAAGUGUGCAAAAAAUUACGGGCUUGUAAACAUGAUAGUGGUGACAUCAAGAUGCAAUUAGAUAUGUGUAUUUUGAAGAACCUGUGUACAGACGGUCACUUCAGACAAAUAGUCUGUUCAGAGAGGUAUAUAGAUUUAAGUACAGGAAGUAUGGAGCAAAUCUUGGAUAGUGUAGGUAUGUAAUUCAUUUAUCAACUUUAUGGAAGCAUGUUAAUUAGUGAAAAAGUAAGCAGGAGGUGGUGGUAAUGCUAUACCUAACUAACUUUCCAUAAAAAAAAUAUGCUGUAAAUCCUAUUUAGAAGGGGAUCCAAAAGAAGAUUUGGGUUGAAUCGUGCAGACACUUCAGUUCACCGUCUGUUAUUUAUCUCCUGUAGUUUCAAAUAAUGAGUAAUAGGGAUGCUAGAGACCAGCUGUCUUGGAGGUGCUCAGGAGACUGCUUUAUUCUAACUGCGAAUUGUUUCAUUUCCUGAAUGAUACAAACUGAUGAUUUCUUGUCACUUUUUUAGGCAUGUCUAAAUAAGUGCAGGAAAUCAUUCUGCAAACCAUAAUGUUAUGAUACAUUUUCUAUCAACAGCUGAAAACAUUUCUGGGUGAAGUGCAACUACUUUGUGACAGAGCUUGGAAACAAAUGGAAGUAGGGCAAAAAUAAAAACCACAAAAGCCUGGGAGGACAGAAAACCUCAAGCUGUGAAGUUGAAGCUGCAGGUUGUGAGAGAGAGGCAUCACCCAAGAAUUCAUAUUAAUGCCAGAAAAACCCAAACCCACCUUUUACUUGCUCACAGUCCUUCACAUCAAAGGAACCCAUCAUUUCUUCCAUGCAAAUGCUGUGGAGAUUGCUUCACCCAGGACUGGAAAGCAGCCAGGCUGCAUAGCAUGAUAGCUACUCCGCAGUUCACGGCAAUGUUUUAUACCACUAAGAACCAGGAGUGGAUUGCUGGCUUUAAAUCCGAUACACAUUUGCAGCAAACACUGAGAAAGCAUUUAAUUUCUGGUUUUCGACCAUAUCUUCUUUAA
RNAcentral lists this long non-coding RNA (1297 nucleotides) under Anser cygnoides (Swan goose). RNAcentral's name for it is "lncRNA (ENSACDG00005001057.1)". Lineage: Eukaryota; Metazoa; Chordata; Aves; Anseriformes; Anatidae. The record is from RNAcentral.